Molecule: transfer RNA, 90 nt
Filed under: Actinomycetota bacterium
Lineage: Bacteria; Bacillati; Actinomycetota
Description: Actinobacteria bacterium tRNA-Ser
Rfam family: tRNA
About the family: Transfer RNA (tRNA) molecules are approximately 80 nucleotides in length. Their secondary structure includes four short double-helical elements and three loops (D, anti-codon, and T loops).
Source: RNAcentral
GGAGGAGUCGCAUAGUCUGGCCUAGUGCGCGCGACUGGAAAUCGCGUUGGCGGCAAACCCGCCUCGAGGGUUCGAAUCCCUCCUCCUCCG